GUCUACAGCCAUACCACUCUGAACACGCCCAAUCUCAUCUGAUCUUGGAAGCUAAGCAGGGUCCGGGCCUGGUUAGUACUUGGAUGGGAGACAGAACUUCUUAGGUCCAAUGAAGCAGAAGUCA
This 124-nucleotide ribosomal RNA is filed under the name Jaculus jaculus (lesser Egyptian jerboa). Lineage: Eukaryota; Metazoa; Chordata; Mammalia; Rodentia; Dipodidae. The record is from RNAcentral.